GACGUAGGUACCGAGCGUUAUCCGGAUUCACUGGGCGUAAAGCGCGUGCAGGUGGUAUGGUAAGUCGGGCAUGAAAACUCUUGGCUCAACUAAGAGACGCUGUUCGAUACUGCCGAACUUGAGGGUGUAAGAGGGAGGUGGAAUUCCGCAUGUAGUGGUGAAAUGCGUAGAUAUGCGGAGGAACACCAGUGGCGAAGGCGGCCUCCUGGUACACUCCUGACACUCAAACGCGAAAGCUAGGGGAGCGAACGGG
This 253-nucleotide ribosomal RNA is filed under the name uncultured bacterium. RNAcentral's name for it is "partial 16S ribosomal RNA". It matches the Rfam family "Bacterial small subunit ribosomal RNA", at positions 524 to 776 of the family's 1533-position model. The record is from RNAcentral.